AGUCGAACGGUAGCACAGAAGAGCUUGCUCUUCGGGUGACGAGUGGCGGACGGGUGAGUAAUGUCUGGGGAUCUGCCCGAUAGAGGGGGAUAACCACUGGAAACGGUGGCUAAUACCGCAUAACGUCGCAAGACCAAAGAGGGGGACCUUCGGGCCUCUCACUAUCGGAUGAACCCAGAUGGGAUUAGCUAGUAGGUGGGGUAACGGCUCACCUAGGCGACGAUCCCUAGCUGGUCUGAGAGGAUGACCAGCCACACUGGAACUGAGACACGGUCCAGACUCCUACAGGAGGCAGCAGUGGGGAAUAUUGCACAAUGGGCGCAAGCCUGAUGCAGCCAUGCCGCGUGUAUGAAGAAGGCCUUCGGGUUGUAAAGUACUUUCAGCGGGGAGGAAGGGAGCGAGGUUAAUAACCUCGUUCAUUGACGUUACCCGCAGAAGAAGCACCGGCUAACUCCGUGCCAGCAGCCGCGGUAAUACGGAGGGUGCAAGCGUUAAUCGGAAUUACUGGGCGUAUAGCGCACGCAGGCGGUCUGCUAAGUCAGAUGUGACAUCCCCGGGCUUAACCUGGGAACUG
RNAcentral lists this ribosomal RNA (574 nucleotides) under bacterium 14-L049659-122-016-F02. RNAcentral's name for it is "bacterial SSU rRNA". It matches the Rfam family "Bacterial small subunit ribosomal RNA", at positions 60 to 623 of the family's 1533-position model. The record is from RNAcentral.